This 35-nucleotide ribosomal RNA is filed under the name Pseudocercospora eucalyptorum. RNAcentral describes it as "partial 18S ribosomal RNA". RNAcentral also lists the same sequence under 8 other names. Lineage: Eukaryota; Fungi; Ascomycota; Dothideomycetes; Mycosphaerellales; Mycosphaerellaceae. The record is from RNAcentral.
AAGGUCUCCGUAGGUGAACCUGCGGAGGGAUCAUU